RNAcentral lists this long non-coding RNA (263 nucleotides) under Numida meleagris (helmeted guineafowl). RNAcentral's name for it is "lncRNA (ENSNMEG00000022932.1)". The record is from RNAcentral. Lineage: Eukaryota; Metazoa; Chordata; Aves; Galliformes; Numididae.
CCGCGCUCAGCCCUCCGCCCGGAGCCUGGAGCCCGGGCAGCGCCACCAAGCGGAGGGAAAAGCGCGGGCGGAGCUGAGGGGAGAGGCGGGGCGGGAAGUUGUCCUGGCGCCGAGCUGCGCUUGUGUGGGGAUGGCGCCGAGGGCUGUCGGGAGAAUGCCAGUCUCUGGGCAUAAAUAAUAAAUACGUGAAAUCCCCAAGGACUCUGCAUGCAAGGGUGAUCAGCUGUAAUCUCAUUUGUAACAAACAGAUGGCAUGGUUCUAG